GCAGUCGAACGGUGAAAGAGAGCUUGCUCUCUGGAUCAGUGGCGAACGGGUGAGUAACACGUGAGCAAUCUGCCCCUGACUCUGGGAUAACAGUUGGAAACAGCUGCUAAUACCGGAUACGAGCUUCGAAGGCAUCUUCAGAAGCUGGAAAGAACUUCGGUCAGGGAUGAGCUCGCGGCCUAUCAGCUAGUUGGUGAGGUAAUGGCUCACCAAGGCGUCGACGGGUAGCCGGCCUGAGAGGGUGACCGGCCACACUGGGACUGAGACACGGCCCAGACUCCUACGGGAGGCAGCAGUGGGGAAUAUUGCACAAUGGGCGCAAGCCUGAUGCAGCAACGCCGCGUGAGGGACGACGGCCUUCGGGUUGUAAACCUCUUUUAGCAGGGAAGAAGCGAAAGUGACGGUACCUGCAGAAAAAGCGCCGGCUAACUACGUGCCAGCAGCCGCGGUAAUACGUAGGGCGCAAGCGUUAUCCGGAAUUAUUGGGCGUAAAGAGCUCGUAGGCGGUUUGUCGCGUCUGCUGUGAAAACUGGAGGCUCAACCUCCAGCCUGCAGUGGGUACGGGCAGACUAGAGUGCGGUAGGGGAGAUUGGAAUUCCUGGUGUAGCGGUGGAAUGCGCAGAUAUCAGGAGGAACACCGAUGGCGAAGGCAGAUCUCUGGGCCGUAACUGACGCUGAGGAGCGAAAGGGUGGGGAGCAAACAGGCUUAGAUACCCUGGUAGUCCACCCCGUAAACGUUGGGAACUAGUUGUGGGGUCCAUUCCACGGAUUCCGUGACGCAGCUAACGCAUUAAGUUCCCCGCCUGGGGAGUACGGCCG
This 819-nucleotide ribosomal RNA is filed under the name Microbacterium sp. PCA3-2_Pa. Its description in RNAcentral is "bacterial SSU rRNA". It matches the Rfam family "Bacterial small subunit ribosomal RNA", at positions 57 to 888 of the family's 1533-position model. Lineage: Bacteria; Bacillati; Actinomycetota; Actinomycetes; Micrococcales; Microbacteriaceae. The record is from RNAcentral.